Molecule: small nuclear RNA, 20 nt
Filed under: Arabidopsis thaliana (thale cress)
Lineage: Eukaryota; Viridiplantae; Streptophyta; Magnoliopsida; Brassicales; Brassicaceae
Description: snRNA_11440
Source: RNAcentral
AGAAUGAGUGAUGGUUCAAG